RNAcentral lists this ribosomal RNA (301 nucleotides) under uncultured bacterium. RNAcentral describes it as "partial 16S ribosomal RNA". It matches the Rfam family "Bacterial small subunit ribosomal RNA", at positions 509 to 807 of the family's 1533-position model. The record is from RNAcentral.
CAGUCGCCGCGGUAAUACGUAGGGUGCAAGCGUUAAUCGGAAUUACUGGGCGUAAAGCGUGCGCAGGCGGUUUUGUAAGUCUGUCGUGAAAUCCCCGGGCUCAACCUGGGAAUGGCGAUGGAGACUGCAAGGCUAGAAUCUGGCAGAGGGGGGUAGAAUUCCACGUGUAGCAGUGAAAUGCGUAGAUAUGUGGAGGAACACCGAUGGCGAAGGCAGCCCCCUGGGCUAAGAUUGACGCUCAUGUACGAAAGCGUGGGGAGCAAACAGGAUUAGAUACCCCCGUAGUCCCUGUCUCUUAUAC